GUGAGGAAUUUUCCGCAAUGGGCGAAAGCCUGACGGAGCAAUGCCGCGUGAAGGAUGAAAGCCUAUGGGUUGUAAACUUCUUUUCUCAGAAAAGAAUUAUGACGGUAUCUGAGGAAUAAGCAUCGGCUAACUCUGUGCCAGCAGCCGCGGUAAGACAGAGGAUGCAAGCGUUAUCCGGAAUGAUUGGGCGUAAAGCGUCUGUAGGUUGUUUAAAAAGUAUUCUGUCAAAGAUUAGGGCUUAACCUUAGAUAGGCAGAAUAAACUUUUAAGCUAGAGUUUGGUAGAAGCAGAAGGAAUUCCCGGUGGAGCGGUGAAAUGCGUAGAUAUCGGGAGGAACACCAAAUGCGAAGGCACUCUGCUGGGCCAAUACUAACACUGAGAGACGAAAGCGAGGGGAGCAAAUGGGAUUAGAAACCCUAGUAGUCC
Molecule: ribosomal RNA, 426 nt
Filed under: uncultured bacterium
Lineage: Bacteria
Description: bacterial SSU rRNA
Rfam family: Bacterial small subunit ribosomal RNA
Source: RNAcentral